UGCUUUACAGACAAAUGCGUCUGCAUUGUGAAACAUCUGACCAUAUACUUUACUGUUGGUGUAUCUCCCCUGGUGCGUUGCAUCCCCUCUGAAGAGCUGGCAGCAAGUCAACUAUUCAAUCAGCAAAUCGGUUUUCCAAUUGCAGAGGUCUGACUAAUUUUCUGGCUGAGACCCCAAAUCGGGGAAAUUAAAUCAAUACAUUUGAAUACACAUGGAUUAUGAUGACUUGGCGCAUAUGCUGAUUAUGCGGACAACGUUGAGAAUUCUGUGCGGCUCUACAUGUACCC
Pseudophryne corroboree (corroboree frog) is the source of this 287-nucleotide long non-coding RNA. RefSeq lists it as uncharacterized. Lineage: Eukaryota; Metazoa; Chordata; Amphibia; Anura; Myobatrachidae. The transcript is spliced from 3 exons. The record is from RefSeq and is a predicted model, not a curated record.